ACCCAGAUGACGAGUCCCAAAAAGGACGAAAUGCGCGCCCGGGAU
RNAcentral lists this non-coding RNA (45 nucleotides) under Trichobilharzia regenti. Lineage: Eukaryota; Metazoa; Platyhelminthes; Trematoda; Strigeidida; Schistosomatidae. The record is from RNAcentral.